This is a non-coding RNA of Parelaphostrongylus tenuis, 73 nucleotides long. The record is from the annotation of a GenBank genome assembly. NCBI's taxonomy places the organism in Eukaryota, Metazoa, Nematoda, Chromadorea, Rhabditida, Metastrongylidae.
AUCUCGGUCGUGCAGUGGUAGAGCACGCAUUUCCGUAUAGUAUGAAACGCGGGUUCGAUUCCCGCCUGAGGCC